RNAcentral lists this ribosomal RNA (524 nucleotides) under uncultured bacterium. RNAcentral describes it as "partial 16S ribosomal RNA". It matches the Rfam family "Bacterial small subunit ribosomal RNA", at positions 28 to 523 of the family's 1533-position model. The record is from RNAcentral.
GACGAACGCUGGCGGCGUGCCUAAUACAUGCAAGUCGAACGAAGCUGUUUUAACUGGUGCUUGCACCGACUUAAACAACUGAGUGGCGAACGGGUGAGUAACACGUGGGUAACCUGCCCCAAAGCGGGGGAUAACAUUUGGAAACGGAUGCUAAUACCGCAUAAUCACAGAAACCACAUGGUUUCUGUGUCAAAGAUGGUUUCGGCUAGCACUUCGGGAUGGACCCGCGGCGUAUUAGCUAGUUGGUAAGGUAAUGGCUUACCAAGGCAAUGAUACGUAGCCGAACUGAGAGGUUGAUCGGCCACAUUGGGACUGAGACACGGCCCAAACUCCUACGGGAGGCAGCAGUAGGGAAUCUUCCACAAUGGACGAAAGUCUGAUGGAGCAACGCCGCGUGAGUGAAGAAGGUUUUCGGAUCGUAAAACUCUGUUGUCAGAGAAGAACGUGUGCGAGAGUAACUGUUCGUGCAGUGACGGUAUCUGGCCAGAAAGCCACGGCUAACUACGUGCCAGCAGCCGCGGUAA